This 550-nucleotide ribosomal RNA is filed under the name uncultured bacterium. Its description in RNAcentral is "bacterial SSU rRNA". It matches the Rfam family "Bacterial small subunit ribosomal RNA", at positions 355 to 896 of the family's 1533-position model. The record is from RNAcentral.
UAGGGAAUCUUCGGCAAUGGGGGCAACCCUGACCGAGCAACGCCGCGUGAGUGAAGAAGGUUUUCGGAUCGUAAAGCUCUGUUGUAAGUCAAGAACGAGUGUGAGAGUGGAAAGUUCACACUGUGACGGUAGCUUACCAGAAAGGGACGGCUAACUACGUGCCAGCAGCCGCGGUAAUACGUAGGUCCCGAGCGUUGUCCGGAUUUAUUGGGCGUAAAGCGAGCGCAGGCGGUUUGAUAAGUCUGAAGCUAAAGGCUGUGGCUCAACCAUAGUUCGCUUUGGAAACUGUCAAACUUGAGUGCAGAAGGGGAGAGUGGAAUUCCAUGUGUAGCGGUGAAAUGCGUAGAUAUAUGGAGGAACACCGGUGGCGAAAGCGGCUCUCUGGUCUGUAACUGACGCUGAGGCUCGAAAGCGUGGGGAGCGAACAGGAUUAGAUACCCUGGUAGUCCACGCCGUAAACGAUGAGUGCUAGGUGUUGGAUCCUUUCCGGGAUUCAGUGCCGCAGCUAACGCAUUAAGCACUCCGCCUGGGGAGUACGACCGCAAGGUUG